This 20-nucleotide unclassified non-coding RNA is filed under the name Mus musculus (house mouse). RNAcentral describes it as "oocyte_clustered_small_RNA1851". Lineage: Eukaryota; Metazoa; Chordata; Mammalia; Rodentia; Muridae. The record is from RNAcentral.
UCCAGAGGCCUCCCUGUUAC